RNAcentral lists this long non-coding RNA (472 nucleotides) under Brassica napus (rape). Its description in RNAcentral is "long non-coding RNA (BNAP_LNC024494)". Lineage: Eukaryota; Viridiplantae; Streptophyta; Magnoliopsida; Brassicales; Brassicaceae. The record is from RNAcentral.
GAAUGGGGAUUGAUUAUUGAAUAGAUGAAAUUGAGUAACACAAGAGAAAUCGGGUGGAUGUUACAUGAUUUUAGUUGAUUUUGAAAAAAAUAGUAAUGAAAGAUGAAGGUGAAAAUCGUGAGAAGGAUGAUGUUUGAGAAAGAGAUAUUUUGGAAUUUAGAGAUCCAAAUUAAGUAGGAUGGGUUAGUGGGUUAGGAUACUAAGAGGUUGAGUUAGUAAAUAAGUAGAACUUUCUAGGUUUCAUGGUCUUUUCCUCCUAUUUUUUAUUUAAUUUUAACUCAUUUUUAAAAUAAAAAGACAAGAGAUCCAUAUGAGAUUAUUUUGACCCCUUAUGGUCCAUUACAGCAUUUGAUCCGUGUAGUAAGCUAAUUUUUAACAUAUUUUGCAAGGCGUUAAAUUUGUAAAUUAAUUGAUUAAGAGGGACAUAGCUAAAUGGCCCUUCAAUACAUAGAGCUCGUGAAGCACAGAUCCA